GCCGGGGUGCCCGAGUGGACUAAGGGGCUGGCCUUGAGAGCUUCAGGUUAGCCAGUGGGGAUCUCCCCGCGCGGGUUCAAAUCCCGCCCCCGGCG
This is a transfer RNA of 95 nucleotides. It matches the Rfam family "tRNA". From Rfam's summary of the family: Transfer RNA (tRNA) molecules are approximately 80 nucleotides in length. Their secondary structure includes four short double-helical elements and three loops (D, anti-codon, and T loops). The record is from Rfam.